GGCCCGAUAGCUCAGUUGGGAGAGCACUGGACGGAAACUCCAGGGGUCGUAAGUUCAAACCUUACUCGGGCCA
RNAcentral lists this transfer RNA (73 nucleotides) under seawater metagenome. Its description in RNAcentral is "tRNA-Phe". It matches the Rfam family "tRNA". From Rfam's summary of the family: Transfer RNA (tRNA) molecules are approximately 80 nucleotides in length. Their secondary structure includes four short double-helical elements and three loops (D, anti-codon, and T loops). The record is from RNAcentral.